CCGAGACGGCCGUGCCAAUAAACGCGCGCUGCAUCCGCGAGCACUGAAGGCGCCCGUGCUUCCGAUCGGGGGGUUGGUGAUCGGACUCACACGACCGUCCGAGGGGUCACGGGCGCCUUUGUGUAGCCGCUCCCGUACCGCGCUACGCGGAGGGAGAGGAGAAAGAGGAUGGGGCCGAGUCGUUUUUCAUAACAAGAUAUGUAGGCAGCACAGGCAAAGCUCGCGGCAUCAAUCGCGUGAUUGGGCCAUAGAAUGAUAUGGAGCAGUAAAGGCGGUGGGGUGCACAAGGCCCGCAGCCCGACGUUACAUGCAAGCAUCAUGCAUCUUAUGUGCCGACACGGUCAUUCCGCCGUACAUCGCGCCAAUCGCCCGCAUUCCACCUCGAAAGAUUGUGUCAUGGGGUCAACUAGAACGGUCAACAGCAGAACUCCGC
RNAcentral lists this unclassified non-coding RNA (433 nucleotides) under Dimerocostus strobilaceus subsp. guttierezii. Its description in RNAcentral is "partial external transcribed spacer". The record is from RNAcentral. Lineage: Eukaryota; Viridiplantae; Streptophyta; Magnoliopsida; Zingiberales; Costaceae.